CCACCUUGUGCCGCCACCAUUGAAGGAGAGGAGAGGUCAGAGGCAAAGGGGCUUAGAGUGAGAAAAUGCAAGGAGAAACUGACGGGAGCAACACAGAGAGCAAAGUUUCACUCCAUUUUUCUUGGUUUUAUCUUCUCAAACCCAUGUUUUACUUUUGGUUUAAUUUGAAAAUAAUGUGUAACUAAAUUUAUUUUGGCUAGAGGUUAAUUCAAAGCCAUGAAUAUAUUUGUAAUAU
RNAcentral lists this long non-coding RNA (235 nucleotides) under Malus domestica (apple). Its description in RNAcentral is "long non-coding RNA (MDOM_LNC010516)". The record is from RNAcentral. Lineage: Eukaryota; Viridiplantae; Streptophyta; Magnoliopsida; Rosales; Rosaceae.